Molecule: ribosomal RNA, 267 nt
Filed under: uncultured bacterium
Lineage: Bacteria
Description: partial 16S ribosomal RNA
Rfam family: Bacterial small subunit ribosomal RNA
Source: RNAcentral
UUGACUGAGUGGCGGACGGGUGAGUAACGCGUGGGUAACCUGCCUCACACAGGGGGAUAACAGUUGGAAACGACCGCUAAUACCGCAUAACCCGCUGGUACCGCAUGGUACUGACGGAAAAGAUUUAUCGGUGUGAGAUGGACCCGCGUCUGAUUAGCCAGUUGGCAGGGUAACGGCCUACCAAAGCGACGAUCAGUAGCCGGCCUGAGAGGGUGAACGGCCACAUUGGGACUGAGACACGGCCCAAACUCCUACGGAAGGCAGCAG